This 83-nucleotide transfer RNA is filed under the name Candidatus Woesearchaeota archaeon. RNAcentral's name for it is "tRNA-Ser". It matches the Rfam family "tRNA". Rfam says of the family: Transfer RNA (tRNA) molecules are approximately 80 nucleotides in length. Their secondary structure includes four short double-helical elements and three loops (D, anti-codon, and T loops). The record is from RNAcentral. Lineage: Archaea; Nanobdellati; Candidatus Woesearchaeota.
GCCGUGGUGGGACAAUCCGGUACUCCGUCCGCCUCGAAAGCGGAAGCCGCAAGGCGUUCCAGGUUCAAAUCCUGGCCACGGCG